Molecule: long non-coding RNA, 6274 nt
Filed under: Hordeum vulgare
Lineage: Eukaryota; Viridiplantae; Streptophyta; Magnoliopsida; Poales; Poaceae
Description: long non-coding RNA (HVUL_LNC001717)
Source: RNAcentral
UUCCAUCAUCUUUCAGCUUGGCUUUCUCUAAGAACACAUUAAAAUUCAGGGGUGCUAUUGCGCGAGCCAUUGAUCUAGAACAUAAAUUUGCAAAGAUUACUUAGACUAUUGUUCAAGAUAAUGAGUUUAGUUAUUCAUAUUACUAAAAACUCCCACUCAAAUUGACAUCUCUCUAGUCGUUCGAGUGAUACAUGAUCCAAACCCACAAACCCAAGUCUGAUCAUCAUGUGAGAAGAGGUGGUUUCAAUGGUGAACAUCUUCAUGUUGACCAUAUCUACUAUGUAACUCAUGUUCUACCUUUCGGUAUCUUGUGUUCUGAGGCCAUGUCUGUACAUGCUAGGUGUUGGAAAUAUGCCCUACAAGCAAAAAUAAAUUGGUUAAUAUUAUAUUUCCUUAUUCAUGAUAAUCGUUUAUUAUCCAUGCUAGAAUUGUAUAGAUUGGAAACUCAAAUACAUGGGUGGAUACAUAGACAACACACUAUCCUUAUUGAGCCUCUGAAGGACUAGCUCGUUGAUCAAAGAUGGUCAAGGUUUCCUAACCAUAGACAUGAGAUGUCGUUUGACAAUGGGAUCACAUCAUUAGGAGAAUGAUGUGAUGGACAAGACCCAAACUAUGUAUGUAGCAUAUGAUCGUGUCAGUUUAUUGCUACUGUUUUCUGCAUGCCAAGUAUCUCUACCUAUGACCAUGGGAUCGUGCAACUCCUGGACACCGGAGGAAAGCCUUGUCUGUAUCAAACGUCACAACGUAACUGGGUGACUAUAAAUGUUCUCUACAGGUAUCUUCGAAGGUGUUUGUUGGUUGGCAUGUAUCAAGACUGGGAUUUGUCACUCUGUAUGGCGGAGCCGUAUCUCUAGGGCCCACUCGGUAAUACAACAUCAUAAUGAGCUUGUAAGCAAUGUGAUUCAAGAGUUAGUCAUGGGAUUUCGUAUUACGAAAGGAGUAAAGAUACUUUCCGGUAACGAGAUUGAACUAGGUAAAGACACUUACUGAAAACCGAAUCUCGGGCAAGUAACAUACCAAUGGACAAAGGGAAGAACGUAUGGGAUUAACUAAAUCCUUGACAUAGAGGUUUGGUCGAUAAAGAUCUUCAUAGAAUAUGUAGGAGCCAAUAUGGGCAUCUAGGUCCCGCUAUUGGUUAUUGACCGGAGAGGGUCUCGGUCAUGCUUGCAUAGUUCUCGAACCCGUAGGGUCUGCACACUUAAGGAUCAGUGACGUCUCGGUAUAGUUGAAUUAUGUAUGUUGGUGACCGAAGGUUUUUUGGAGUCCCAGAUGAGACCUCGGAUGUCACGAGGAGUUCCGAAAUGGUCCAGAGACGAAGGUUGAUAUAGAGGAAGAUGGUAUUUGGGCUCCGGAAUGGUUUCGGACAUUUCCGGUAUUGUACCAGGAAUGAUGAGUGGGUUCUGGGGGUCCGUCGGGAGACGUCCACCCACUUGAGGGGGCACAUGGGCCUAAGAGGUAGCGCACCAGCCCUUAGUGGGUUGGGCGGCCAGCCCCUAAAGGCCCUUGCACCAAAGAGGUGGGACGGAAUCCUACAAGGAGUAGGACUCCACCUCCCUUAGUGGAGUCAGAUUCCUCCUCUUGGGUGCGACCAACCAAACCUAGGGAAAACCGUAGGGCUCCACCCCUUCGCCCUCCCUCCUAUAUAUACAAGAGGGGAGAGAGGGCAGCCAACACACAAUCAAAGGCACAACCCCUCUCCCUCCCUCUAGUUUGUUCUUCCUCUAGAUUAGGUCUGGCAGUGCCCAGCGAAGCCCUGCCAGAUCAGCUCCACCACUAUCGCCACCAUGCCGUUAGGCUGUCGGAGAACUCAACUACCUCUCUACCCUGUCUUGCUGGAUCAAGAAGGCGGAUAUCGUCAUCGAGCUAUACGUGUGCUGAACAUGGAGGUGCCGCCUGUUCGGCACUAGAUCAGGAUGGAUCGUGAUGAGAACGUGGGAUGGAUCGUGAUGAGAUCGCGGGACGGAUCGUGAUGGGAUCGCAGGAAGGAUUGCGAUUUGGAUCGCGAAGAUGUUCGACUAACUCAACCACGUUAUAUAAGCUUCCGCUUAGCAAUCUAUAAGGGUGUGUGGAUCCAAUCUCUCCUAUCGUAGAUGGUCAUCACCAUGGAUAGAUCUUGUGUGCGCGUAGGAAUUUUUUUUGUUUCCCAUGCGACGUUCCCCAACACUAGGCUCGUCAAGUUUAACCCGAGUGUUCCGCAUGUGCAAAACUGCCUUGCACCCGUUGUAUGUGAACGUAGAGUCUAUCACACCCGAUCAUCACACGGUGUGUCGAAACGAUGAACUUUCACAAUGGCGCACACCCAGGGAGAACACAAUUUUAUCUUGAAAUUUUAGUGAGGGAUCACCUUAUAAUGUUAGCAUCCUCCUAAGCAAAACAAGGUGCAUAAAAAUGAUGAAAGUCACAUGAAAUCAUAAGUGACAUGAUAUGGCCAUGAUCUUGUGCUUUUGAUCUCCAUCUCCAAAGCACCGACAUGAUCUCCAUCGUCACCAGCACAACACCAUGAUCUCCAUCAUCGUGUUUCCAUCAAGGUUGUCGCGCCAACCAUGCUUGUACUACUGUUGAUACAGUUUAGCGAUAAAGUAAAGCAUUACAUAGCUCUUAAUGAUUGACACACAAGUCAUACAAUAAUUAAAGACAACCCUAUGGCUCCUACCGGUUCCCGUAGCAUCGACAAGCAAGUCGACAUUAACUAUUGCAACAUGAUCAUCUCAUACAACAAAUACAUAUCAUCAUGUCUUUGGCCAUAUCAUAUCACAACAUACCGUGCAAAAACAAGUUGGACAUCCUCUAAUUUAUCGUUGCACGUUUUACGUGGCUGCUAUGGGUAUUUACCAAGAAUUCUUCUUAUCUACGCAAAACCACAACGGUGAUAUACAAGUUGCUAUUUAACCUUUUAUAAGGACCGCCUUUGUCGAAUCAUAUUUAACUAAAGUGGGAGAGACAGACACCCGCUAGCCAUCUUUAUGCAACAAGUUGCAUGUCAGUCGAUGGAACCGGUCUCUCGUACAUGUACGAGUAAGGUUGGUUCACGCCGCUUUAUCCCACAAUACCGCUAAAUCAAGAAAAUACUAAGGAGGGAAGGAAUCUGAAUAUCAGCGCCCACAAACUCCUUUGUGUUCUACUUGAGAUGUCAUCUACGCAUAGACCUAGUUCUGAUACCACAGUUGGGGAAUGUUGCAUGGGAAACAAAAACAUUCCUACGCCCACCAAGACCGUUCUAGGAGAUGCACAUCUACGAGAGUAAAGACUGAAUCUACAUACCCUUGUAGAUUGCUAAGCGAAAGCAUUCAAGAGCGCGGUUGAUGUAGUUGUACGUCUUCAUGAUCCGAUCACGAUCCGUCUCACGAACUCCUUGUCAAGCGCCGAAUGGACGGCACCUCCGCAUUCAACACACGUGCAGCUUGGUGACGCCUUCACCUCCUCGAUCCAGCGAGCGAUGGUGAAGUAGGAGCACGAGUCCUACGACAGCACGACGACGUGGUGAGAUGAUGGUGGUGAUAGCUCAGCAGGGUUUCCUCGCCUGAUGUUUAGAGGACAAGAACUACGAGGGAGAGGAGGAGCAGCGCCACGGCAAGAUGUCGUCUGGCUGCCCUCUCUCUACCUCUCUAUAUAUAGGGUUAAGGGUGGAGGGGAGGGCGCCAUAGGGUUUCCCCUAUGGGCCGGCGGCCAGGAUGGGCGACGGCUAGGGUUGGGGUGCCCUCCCCCCACUUGGGUGCCUUGCCACCCAAGUUGGACAGGCUGAUGCCCUGGGGGGAGGCCCUCCUCCCUUCGGCCAAAGUGGGCUGGGGUGUGGGUGGUGCCCAGACCCUUGUGGGAUGGUGUGCCACCCCUCCUUGGCCCAUGAGGCCGCCAACACUUGUCGGGGCCUCCCGAAAAUCCUUUCGCUAUUCUGUCAUUCCCUUGUAUUCCCUGGAAUACUUCCGGACUCCGAUACUCUUCAUCCUAUAUAUCAAUAUUCACCUCCGGACCACUCGAGAGUUCCUCGUAAUGUCCGGUAUCUCAUCCAGUACUCGGAACAACCUAUGUCCCACCAACAAUAUGACUCAAUUAUGCUCAUAUCGUCACCGUACCUUAAGCGUGUAGACCCUGCGGGUUCGAAAACUAUGCAGACAUGACCGAGACACUCUCCGGUCAAUAACCAAUAGCGGGACCUGGAUGCCUAUAUUGGUUCCUACAUAUUCUGCGAAGAUCUAUAUCGGUCGAACCUCGAUGUCAAGGAUUCAAUCAAUCUCGUAUAAAAUGCUCUUUGUCCAUCGGUAUGUUACUUGCCCGAGGUUCUAUCGUAGGUAUCUCCAUACCUAGUUAAAUCUCCUUACCUGCAAGUCUAUUUACUCGUUCCGUAAUACGAGAUACCGUGGCUAACUCUUUAGUCACAUUGCUUGCAUGCUCAUGGUGAUGUUGACAUACCUCUCGAUCACACGGAGUGACAAAUCCCAGUCUUGAUCCAUGUCAACUCAACCCACACCCUCGGAGAUACUUGUAUAGCACAUUUAUAGUCACCCACUUACGCAACGGCGUUUGAUACACACAAGGUACUCCUCCGGUGUUAGUGAGUUGCAUGAUCUCAUGGUCAUAGGAAUAGAUACUUAACAUGCAGAAAAUAAUAGCAAUAAACUGACACGAUCAUAUGCUACCUUCAUAGUUUGGGUCUUGUCCAUCACAUCAUUUUCCUAAUGAUGUGAUCCCGUUAUCAAAUGACAACUCAUGUCUAUGGCGAGGAAACCUUGACCGUCUUUGAUCAACGAGCUAGUCCAUUAGAGGGUCACUAGGGAGAGUGUGUUGUCUAUGUAUCCACACAUGUAUUUGAGUUUCCAAUCAGUACAAUUCUAGCCUGGAUAAUAAACGAUUAUCACGAACAAGGAAACAUAAUAAUAACCACUUUAUUAUUACCUCUAGGGCAUAUUUCCAACAUCUAAUGGAGACUGCUUUCCACCCUUUUCAGCACCAUCUGAGGUGGUCGAUCUGUAAGAAAAUCAACAUCAGAACAUGAAAUGCUAUCAAUGGCAAGAUCAACAUAUGUCUUAAUUUGCUCACAAUCUAAUGAAAUAAGAAAAGAAAAUCUCAGGUAACCACGUGAUACACAAAGCAAAGGACAUUUAAAUCCUAAAACGUGAAGAUGUUUGAUAUACAUGGUGUUCUGCCAUGAUGACCAAGAAGAAAAGUAGUAUAGAAGUAGAAUUUAUAUAAACAAAUAAGAUGCACUAUAUUAGAAGAAAUGAUGAAAUCAAUUUCAGAACUUCCCUCUUCCCUACCCUACCCCUGAUAUACAUUCAAUUUUGUCGGACGCAAAAUUCCAAUAGAACAAUAGGACUGAUGGAAUCAAUUUCAGAACCACCAUAAAGAACUAAACUAACUUCCAAACAAACAUUUCAAGCUUGGAAGUGCCAAACAUGCACAUAUUCAUAUAGUGGGUAGGAAUGUAACAACAAUUGUCUGCUUGCAUAGGAAAUAAUGGUCAUAAUGGUGCCAAUUGAACAUAGAUGAGUAACGAAAUUAAAAACCAGAGAGUUGUGGAAGCAGUGACCUCAGGUGGUGUUUCCCUUGUGCUCCUGGCUCCGGCACCUAACGACCACGGGUCUAUAUUCCCUUCAAGUACAGGUAAAAUCAGAUCAAUCUCCAUCAGCAGACGAACCCAAGCCAACCAAGAACAUGCAUGGUGGUGGCGAUAAAUGUUCUUCACCAUAUUCGACGCUAGGAGUGCAGUGGAAUACUCACCAAGGAAAUCACUGCUGGAGAGGCCCUUGGCAUAGACCAGAUGCACCUCUAGAAGACCACACCCCAUUGUUUUCUUCUCCCCGUGCUGCUGCUCCUCUCUUCCUCCCCUGGUUCUAAGUCGAGGCCUUGCCCCUCUGCUCGAUCUGCUUCUGUCGAGGCCGGACCGAGGUCGCGCUAUGGUUGCUACUCCUCUCUUGCUGACUCCUAUUGAGUCCGGAUUGAGGCCGCGCUCCUCACUCUAGCUCCUCAUGCUGAGGCCGGACCAUGGCCGUGCUGCGGUUAUUACACCUCUCCUCCUCCUAAGCCCAGAUCGAGGUUGUGCUCCUUGGCUCGAGCCGCCGCCUCGCUCUCCUUCUCUGUCACACCCCACUUAUCCCCUUCACAUCCCUCCUCCUUCCUAAGCUCGAAAAGGAGAGAGGGAAGCGGCUUGGGGGGAGGGCAGCAGGCGUAGGACCCAAGGAGAAGUAGAAGAGGCAGGAUUGGGAGAUUGGGGGAGAGGAGGCAGUGGAUUGAGGAAAGAGUUGUUGCACGCUCGCUGCACUUGUGUUGAUACCCGCUU